Long non-coding RNA from Pseudophryne corroboree (corroboree frog), 979 nucleotides. RefSeq lists it as uncharacterized. The transcript has 3 exons. Lineage: Eukaryota; Metazoa; Chordata; Amphibia; Anura; Myobatrachidae. The record is from RefSeq and is a predicted model, not a curated record.
AUUAGUGAUCCAAUGCUUAUUUUUGCUAGGGCUGUGCGAGUGGAGCAGACAUACAGAGCACACGUCUAAUUGGGAAUGCAGGGCAUUAAUACUUCAGUGAGCCUAAAAAUGUCUUAAACUACCCAAAGAAUAUGUUGCUGUAUUAAGCAUUGAUUCUUAGACUUUCUAAGAAUGAAACGAUAACAAACUGGUUAAAACAGUGAAAUUUGUUGAAGUCCUAACACCAUGACACCUGUUGCCCAUCAUGCAUUGCAACAGUGGGAAGCCUUAACACUGUGGUAUUAAACUACCAUUACCUGUCAGAUAUAAAUAGACAGUAUCCCACAUAAAUCACCAUACCAGUAGUGGCUUACUGUACUCUCUCCUGCAGAGAGCAGAGUCACAUAAAGGUCUGGUACUGAUUUAUAUGCAAACGUCUACGCAGCUGCUAUAUUUCAGGCUAUGGACUUGCUAAGCAUCACAGGUGAAGUAGCUGAAAUGAAUAGAGACAUGCACUGGACCAUGGUUACCUGUAUUCUGCACUGCCUUAACCUACACGGCACCAGUAUUUGAAGUGUCCUCCAGCCGCGUCCUCUGACUCUGUAUGGGGCAGCACUGGGAGAGGAUUUGUGCAACACCCAGUAGCAGAUCUAAUCCUGGGAUUGAAGAGGCAAGUCUACCACAGUGGUCAAAGAUGAGGUAGCUACCUUGGCUUGGAAAUGCUGCGGUAUCCUACCCUACGGACGGUCACAUUCCAUUAACACCUCUGUUUUUUGUCCCGCCGGCGGGAGCGCCUCCAGUAACAUCACCAGAGUGCAUCCAUCACCAUGGUAACAUUUUGGAGCUUCAAUAGUGAUCAACAAAGUUGUUACAAAAAGACAAAAAACUGCUGUCUGUAUGGAAUAGAUUCCUAAUCACAGCAUUGUAUAGUUUUUUUAUAUUAAAGGUUAUCAUUAAUACUACAGAUAACACUCUAAAAUAAACUGUUUUAAACAUAUGA